GACGAACGCUGGCGGCGUGCUUAACACAUGCAAGUCGAACGGAAAGGCCCUGCUUUUGUGGGGUGCUCGAGUGGCGAACGGGUGAGUAACACGUGAGUAACCUGCCCUUGACUUUGGGAUAACUUCAGGAAACUGGGGCUAAUACCGGAUAGGAGCUCCUGCUGCAUGGUGGGGGUUGGAAAGUUUCGGCGGUUGGGGAUGGACUCGCGGCUUAUCAGCUUGUUGGUGGGGUAGUGGCUUACCAAGGCUUUGACGGGUAGCCGGCCUGAGAGGGUGACCGGCCACAUGGGGACUGAGAGACGGCCCAGACGCGUACGGGAGGCAGCAGGGGGGAAUAUGGCAGAAUGGGGGGAAGCGAGAGGCAGCAACGCCGCGUGCGGGAUGACGGCCUUCGGGUGGUAAACCGAUGUCGCCUGUGACGAAGCGUGAGUGACGGUAAUGGGUAAAGAAGCACCGGCUAACUACGUG
This 468-nucleotide ribosomal RNA is filed under the name uncultured bacterium. RNAcentral describes it as "partial 16S ribosomal RNA". It matches the Rfam family "Bacterial small subunit ribosomal RNA", at positions 28 to 507 of the family's 1533-position model. The record is from RNAcentral.